RNAcentral lists this ribosomal RNA (463 nucleotides) under uncultured bacterium. RNAcentral describes it as "partial 16S ribosomal RNA". It matches the Rfam family "Bacterial small subunit ribosomal RNA", at positions 28 to 507 of the family's 1533-position model. The record is from RNAcentral.
GACGAACGCUGGCGGCGUGCUUAACACAUGCAAGUCGAACGGAAAGGCCUUUUCGGAGGUACUCGAGUGGCGAACGGGUGAGUAACACGUGGGUGAUCUGCCCUGCACUCUGGGAUAAGCCUGGGAAACUGGGUCUAAUACCGGAUAGGACCGCACUUUAGUGUGUGUGGUGGAAAGUUUUUUCGGUGUAGGAUGAGCCCGCGGCCUAUCAGCUUGUUGGUGGGGUAAUGGCCUACCAAGGUGGCGACGGGUAGCCGGACUGAGAGGUUGGUCGGCCACAUUGGGACUGAGAUACGGCCCAGACUCCUACGGGAGGCAGCAGUGGGGAAUAUUGCACAAUGGGCGCAAGCCUGAUGCAGCGACGCCGCGUGGGGGAUGACGGCCUUCGGGUUGUAAACUCCUUUCGCCAGGGACGAAGCGUUUUGUGACGGUACCUGGAGAAGAAGCACCGGCUAACUACGUG